RNAcentral lists this ribosomal RNA (253 nucleotides) under uncultured bacterium. RNAcentral describes it as "partial 16S ribosomal RNA". It matches the Rfam family "Bacterial small subunit ribosomal RNA", at positions 524 to 776 of the family's 1533-position model. The record is from RNAcentral.
UACGUAGGGGGCAAGCGUUGUCCGGAUUUAUUGGGCGUAAAGAGCGUGUAGGCGGCCAAGCAGGUCCGCUGUGAAAACUCGAGGCUCAACCUCGAGACGUCGGUGGAAACCGUUUGGCUAGAGUCCGGAAGAGGAGAGUGGAAUUCCCGGUGUAGCGGUGAAAUGCGCAGAUAUCGGGAAGAACACCCGUGGCGAAGGCGGAUCUCUGGGCCAUAACUGACGCUGAGGAGCGAAAGCAUGGGGAGCGAACAGG